GACGAACGCUGGCGGCGUGCCUAAUACAUGCAAGUAGAACGCACAGUUUAUACCGUAGCUUGCUACACCAUAGACUGUGAGUUGCGAACGGGUGAGUAACGCGUAGGUAACCUGCCUGGUAGCGGGGGAUAACUAUUGGAAACGAUAGCUAAUACCGCAUAAUAUUAAUUAUUGCAUGAUAAUUAAUUGAAAGGUGCAAUUGCACCACUACCAGAUGGACCUGCGUUGUAUUAGCUAGUAGGUGAGGUAACGGCUCACCUAGGCGACGAUACAUAGCCGACCUGGGAAGGUGAUCGGCCAAACUGGGACUGGGACACGGCCCAGACUCCUACGGGAGGCAGCAGUAGGGAAUCUUCGGCAAUGGACGAAAGGCUGACCGGGCAACGCCGCGGUAGUGAAGGAGGUUUUCGGAUCGUAAAGCUCUUUUUUAAGAGAAGAACGGGUGUGAGAGUGGAAAGUUCACACUGUGACGGUAUCUAACCAGAAAGGGACGGCUAACUACGUG
This 505-nucleotide ribosomal RNA is filed under the name uncultured bacterium. RNAcentral's name for it is "partial 16S ribosomal RNA". It matches the Rfam family "Bacterial small subunit ribosomal RNA", at positions 28 to 507 of the family's 1533-position model. The record is from RNAcentral.